RNAcentral lists this long non-coding RNA (409 nucleotides) under Salvia miltiorrhiza (redroot sage). RNAcentral's name for it is "long non-coding RNA (SMIL_LNC012528)". Lineage: Eukaryota; Viridiplantae; Streptophyta; Magnoliopsida; Lamiales; Lamiaceae. The record is from RNAcentral.
AUAUAUAUAUAUAUAUAGAUAUAGAUGCAUCUCUCUUUCUCUCUCACUCUCUCACCCUCACGCAACACUCCCUCCCCACUCUCCCACAUUAUUCUUCUCUUUCCCAUAAUCAACACUCCCUCCCCACUCUCCCACAUUAUUCUUCUCUUUCCCAUAAUUGAAGAUCACAUGCACCUAAAAGGCUAAUCUACUAGCCAACACAUUCCUACACACUUUAAGCUCACAAGCACAUGCACACCUCUCUCUCAUUUCCCUCCCUCUCUUCUUCUUCUUUAUUUUCGCAGCCCCUCCCCUCUUCACUUCACCUUACUUCUUUUUUGUUCCACCAAAUAUAGUAAGAACUAAGGUUUCUUAAAGUGUUCAUCUUCAAGCUCAAGCUCCAAGCAUACUACGCAUCAUCCUCUACUCC